ACUCCUACGGGAGGCAGCAGUAGGGAAUCUUCCACAAUGGGCGCAAGCCUGAUGGAGCAACACCGCGUGAGUGAAGAAGGGUUUCGGCUCGUAAAGCUCUGUUGUUAAAGAAGAACACGUAUGAGAGUAACUGUUCAUACGUUGACGGUAUUUAACCAGAAAGUCACGGCUAACUACGUGCCAGCAGCCGCGGUAAUACGUAGGUGGCAAGCGUUAUCCGGAUUUACUGGGCGUAAAGAGAGUGCAGGCGGUUUUCUAAGUCUGAUGUGAAAGCCUUCGGCUUAACCGGAGAAGUGCAUCGGAAACUGGAUAACUUGAGUGCAGAAGAGGUAGUGGAACUCCAUGUGUAGCGGUGGAAUGCGUAGAUAUAUGGAAGAACACCAGUGGCGAAGGCGGCUACCUGGUCUGCAACUGACGCUGAGACUCGAAAGCAUGGGUAGCGAACAGGAUUAGAUACCCCUGGUAGGAUAGCG
RNAcentral lists this ribosomal RNA (473 nucleotides) under uncultured bacterium. Its description in RNAcentral is "bacterial SSU rRNA". It matches the Rfam family "Bacterial small subunit ribosomal RNA", at positions 335 to 801 of the family's 1533-position model. The record is from RNAcentral.